AAGGAAGGAUAAAAAUCAAUAAGUGCUGCUAAUACUUAUGCCCCGAGGUUAAAAUCCUCGGCUUCCUUA
Molecule: transfer RNA, 69 nt
Filed under: Pteronotropis hypselopterus (sailfin shiner)
Lineage: Eukaryota; Metazoa; Chordata; Actinopteri; Cypriniformes; Leuciscidae
Description: tRNA-Ser
Source: RNAcentral